RNAcentral lists this ribosomal RNA (494 nucleotides) under uncultured bacterium. RNAcentral's name for it is "partial 16S ribosomal RNA". It matches the Rfam family "Bacterial small subunit ribosomal RNA", at positions 28 to 507 of the family's 1533-position model. The record is from RNAcentral.
GACGAACGCUGGCGGCGUGCUUGACACAUGCAAGUCGAACGGAAAGGCCUGCUUUCCCUUGUGGAUUGCGGGUACUCGAGUGGCGAACGGGUGAGUAACACGUGAGUGAUCUGCCCCCAACUUGGGUAUAAGCCUGGGAAACUGGGUCUAAUUCCCGAUAGGACUGCAGGGUGGUGCCUGUGGUGGAAAACGAUUUUCUAGUGGUUGGGGAUGAGCUCGCGGCCUAUCAGCUUGUUGGUGGGGUAAUGGCCUACCAAGGCGGCGACGGGUAGCCGGCCUGAGAGGGUGGACGGCCACAUUGGGACUGAGAUACGGCCCAGACUCCUACGGGAGGCAGCAGUGGGGAAUAUUAGACAAUGGGCGGAAGCCUGAUGCAGCGACGCCGCGUGGGGGAUGACAGCCUUCGGGUUGUAAACUCCUUUCGACCGCGAGGAAGCCACCUGGUUGGAAGGGUGGUGACGGUAGUGGUAGAAGAAGCACCGGCUAACUACGUG